This is a non-coding RNA of Aedes albopictus (Asian tiger mosquito), 74 nucleotides long. The record is from Rfam. Lineage: Eukaryota; Metazoa; Arthropoda; Insecta; Diptera; Culicidae.
UGUUCUGUGGCUUAAUUGGUUAAAGCGCCGGUCUAGCGAAUACGGAGUUGUGGGUUAGAAUUUCACCAGAACGC